UUUGGUUAAAAAGUACUCCUAUGCCACUUAAACUAAAAAUACGCAAAGAAGAAAGUAACAUGUGAAGCUCUGACGAGAGGGAGUUGCUCGGAUGGUAAGCACCCCUCACUUCCAACCCGAAGGUUGCAAGUUCGAGUCACCAAGGGAGCAAAUAGGGGUGAGAGCUCCUAGGGAGGGUAAAAAAACAUGUGAAGCUCUCAUUUCAGAUUUAAAAAAGUGCUUUGUAUCUCAAGCUCUCCAGAUGAAACCUGAUUUGCAGGAACAAAACUCAGCAUAGAAACUAGUCCAUUAAAGAGGGGGGCGGGGGGAUGAAAAUGCAUGAUGACAAGCAAUGGUGGGGUUGAGAUUUUCUAUAAGGGGAUUCAACAUAUAAAGAAGUACCGAAGACUAAGGGGUGUCAAUGACUCCCCUUGGACAAAGGCAAGAACCUUUCUAUCACAUCUGACCAUCUCCUCUUGCAAUGAUCCAAUCCCAAUUCAUCUUUUACCCCCACAAACUAAAUCUUUUGGUUAAAAAGUACUCCUAUGCCACUUAAACUAAAAAUACGCAAAGAAGAAAGUAACAUGUGAAGCUCUGACGAGAGGGAGUUGCUCGGAUGGUAAGCACCCCUCACUUCCAACCCGAAGGUUGCAAGUUCGAGUCACCAAGGGAGCAAAUAGGGGUGAGAGCUCCUAGGGAGGGUAAAAAAACAUGUGAAGCUCUCAUUUCAGAUUUAAAAAAGUGCUUUGUAUCUCAAGCUCUCCAGAU
This 747-nucleotide long non-coding RNA is filed under the name Solanum tuberosum (potato). RNAcentral describes it as "long non-coding RNA (STUB_LNC002214)". Lineage: Eukaryota; Viridiplantae; Streptophyta; Magnoliopsida; Solanales; Solanaceae. The record is from RNAcentral.